Molecule: ribosomal RNA, 413 nt
Filed under: Acanthamoeba sp.
Lineage: Eukaryota; Discosea; Longamoebia; Acanthamoebidae
Description: SSU rRNA
Rfam family: Eukaryotic small subunit ribosomal RNA
Source: RNAcentral
GAUCCAUUCUCUGCCACCGAAUACAUUAGCAUGGGAUAAUGGAAUAGGACCCUGUCCUCCUAUUUUCAGUUGGUUUUGCACGCGAGGACUAGGGUAAUGAUUAAUAGGGAUAGUUGGGGGCAUUAAUAUUUAAUUGUCAGAGGUGAAAUUCUUGGAUUUAUGAAAGAUUAACUUCUGCGAAAGCAUCUGCCAAGGAUGUUUUCAUUAAUCAAGAACGAAAGUUAGGGGAUCGAAGACGAUCAGAUACCGUCGUAGUCUUAACCAUAAACGAUGCCGACCAGCGAUUAGGAGACGUUGAAUACAAAACACCACCAUCGGCGCGGUCGUCCUUGGCUCGUCGCGCGAGCGGCGGGCGGGGGCGGCUUAGCCCGAUGGCACCGGUGAAUGACUCCCCUAGCAGCUUGUGAGAAAAA